UGUGCAGGUGAACAUUCCCAAUUCCCUCAGCCUUUCCUCUUGGGAGAAGUGCUCCAUUCCUCUGUGCUAAAACCUUCCCAGAACUCCAAAUAAUGAAGUGUUUAGACCUCAUGCCUUCAGUUCCCAUCUAACACAGCCGUGGGCAUGCUCUGACCCACGGGUGUGUGCAGGAUGAUUUGGAAUCCAAUUCUUUCUGUCUUUGCAGGAGCUGCUCGUGGCCAGCUCCAGAGCUGUUGGGGCUCAGCAGCGAUGCCAGUGAGCCAUUGGAAACUGCUCUCAGACUGCAGAUUCUGACCAGACUCGUGUCAGGGCUUCAGGACUUUCAUUCUUCACUUAUGGAUGUCACGUGGGACAAUGUCAGAGCCUCAGUUUCCCUGCAGGAGGGAUGGAAGUUGGGAGAUGUCACAACAAUCCUGGAGAAGGUCCCCAGGAGUGAAGUGCAGAACUGCAGAUGGGCACGGUGGAGGCUGUGCUGAGCAAGGGAGGAGAAAUAAUAAGGAAAAAACAGAAUAAAUGGAGAAACCCCAACAAAUCUGGGAAUUUU
Molecule: long non-coding RNA, 544 nt
Filed under: Parus major (Great Tit)
Lineage: Eukaryota; Metazoa; Chordata; Aves; Passeriformes; Paridae
Description: lncRNA (ENSPMJG00000008066.1)
Source: RNAcentral